AGAAGCUGCCAGUUGAGGACCUGUGAGGCGCCUAUUUCUCAAACUAGAGACUCUAAUGUACUUGUCUUCUUGCUGAGUUGUGCACCGGGGCCUCCCACUUCUCUUUCUGCUCUGGUUAGAGCCCGUUUGUGCUGUUCUCUGAAGGGAGUAGUACACACCGCUGGAGGACAUUUUCAGUUUCUUUGUAAUUUCUCGCAUGGAAUAGCCUUCAUUUCUAAGAACAAGAAUAGACUGGCGAGUUUCACAGGAAAGUUCUUUUUUUCUGGCCAUUUUGAGAGUCUUAUCGAACCCACAAAUGUGAUGCUCCAGAUAAUCAACUAGCUCAAAGGAAGGCCAGUUUUAUAGCUUCUCUCAUCAGCAAAACAGUUUUCAGCUGUGCUAACAUAAUUGCACAAGGGUUUUCAAGGGUUUUCUAAUCAUCCAUUAGUCUUCUAAGGCGAUAACACAAUGUACCAUUAGAACACUGGAGUGAUAGUUGAUGGAAAUGGGCCUCUAUACACCUCUGGUGAUAUUUCAUUAGAAACCAGACGUUUCACCUAGAAUAGUCAUUUACCACAUUAACAAUGUAUAGAGGGUAUUACUGAUUAAUUUAAUGUUAUCUUCAUUGAAAAAAACAAUGCUUUUCUUUGAAAAAUAAGGACAUUUCUAAGUGAUCCCAAACUUUUGAAUGGUAGUGUAUAUAUACACACACACACACACAUAUUAGUGCUGUGAAAAAUAACGUGUUAAUUAAAUUACAGGUUUAACUAGUUAUUUAUUUAUAACGCAUGCGCAGAAUGAGCUUCCAAUCCGUCUGUUGUUGGUCGUCUCUAACCAGCAGCAUAGCAUCCCCCCCCGUUCCCCCCCCCGUCAACAACUCUUCUCUCGGCUCGCGCGGCAGAGCUCCGAUGAAGCGCAAGCACUGGUGAGCAAUGCAGGGCUCUCAAGUGUCACGCAUUGAGCGUGAGACUCACGCAUUUCGGUCUUAACUCACGCACUCCCGCCACACAUCGUAUUUCUCACGCUGAAAAAAACUCUCGGCUCUUUGAUGUUUUAAUGCAGGGGUGCUCAAUAUGUCGAUCGCGGUCGCCGCAGAGCUUCGAUGCCGGCGCGCGCAUCGCUCCGAGAAUUGUUGAUGGGGGGGGGGGGGGGGAAAUUACAGGGUGACGGGUGGAGAUUUCCCCCUGUUAUAAUAGGGGAAACACUGGAGUUGAUAAGCGUGUCCUCUUGUCUGAUCAAUACGCAACUGUGAGGUGCGCGAAUGGACCGAGCGGCCAGCUGCUGAUCACUCACUCAACAAAUGGAGCUGAGUGGAGGAGACGUCUAGGGACUAACAACUGAGACUAGUCAACUUGUGUGUGUGUGUAGAUGCUAACGUUCCUGAUGCUAGCCCGCCUAGCGUCCCUGAGUCCUGCAGCGGUCCUCCAGAGGCUGGACCGUCUCAUCGAGCCCCUCAGGGCGACCUGCACCACCAAGGUGGCCGGAUCCGUGAAGCAGGAGGAGCUGCGGCGCUCGGUGGCGAGGAGCCCCAACAUGGCCGACUUCGCCGACUAGAUCAGAAGCAACCCGACAUAGCGUCCAGGGGGGGGGGGGGAAGAGCAUGGACCUCAGCUAGCGGGGCGGUUGUUUGUGACGCUACGGAAGCCAAGAAGGGCCAAAACACAGACACUGUUCAUGUCCCCUGAAGGCCACCGUAGUUCUCUGCCUGGCCACCAGAGGGCAGCAGACCCGUACGCUGGCCCUGUAAGAGCUCAGCUCAGGAAAUAAAGUUUGGACAGUUGAA
Long non-coding RNA from Pseudoliparis swirei, 1762 nucleotides. RefSeq lists it as uncharacterized. Lineage: Eukaryota; Metazoa; Chordata; Actinopteri; Perciformes; Liparidae. The record is from RefSeq and is a predicted model, not a curated record. The transcript has 2 exons.